Molecule: long non-coding RNA, 5655 nt
Organism: Homo sapiens (human)
Lineage: Eukaryota; Metazoa; Chordata; Mammalia; Primates; Hominidae
Exons: 5
Source: RefSeq, a predicted model, not a curated record
GCCAUUCUUGCAGAAGUGAGACGGUAUUGCAUUCCACUUGUAUAUCUUCUUUUGAGAAUUGUCUAUUCAUGUACUUAUCUCAAUUUUUGGUGGGAUUCUUCGUUUUUUUUCUUGCUGAUUUGUUUGAGUUCUUUGUAGAUUCUGGAUAUUAGUCCUUUGUCAGAUGUAUAUGUUGCGAAGAUUUUCUCCCACUCUGUGGGUUGUCUGUUAAUUCUGCUGAUUAUUUAUUUUGCUGUAUAGUUUUUCAGUUUACUUAAGUCUCAUCUAUUUAUCUUUGUUUUUGUUGCAUUUGCUUUUGGGUUCUUGGUCAUGAAGUCUUUGCCUAAGCCAAUGUCUAGAAGGGUUUUCCCAAUGUUAUCAUCUAGAAUCUUUGUGGUUUCAGGUCUCAGAUUUAAGUCUUUGAUCCAUCUUGAAUUGAUUUUUGUAUAAGGUGAGAGAUGAGUAUCCAGCUUCAUUCUUCUCCAUGUGGCUUGCCAAUUAUUCCAGAAGCUUGUUUUUUUUUUUAAAUGAAGAAAUGGUAAAGAAGGUAAGUCCUCCACUAGACUAAAUAUGAGCAUGGCACCCUGAUACAAAUAAUGUAGUCAAAUUCUUAUCUGGACUUCAUUGUCUACCCCCAAGCAAUUUGUCAAGUUAUUUUCCUAAAUACAGAGUUUUCCUGCCAAGAAUUCUGGUGACAGUUGUCAGGCAAUAAAAUUGUAAUUUCCUGGCUAUAAAUGAAUGGUCUUUCCACUGACAGAUGACAUCAUAUUGUAUAGAUUCAUUCCUGAAGAAUCUAUUGCAGCCCUAAAGUACUACUACCUUUACCUUUUAAAGGGGCUCUGAACUUUCCGAAGCUUACUAACUAAAAGGAUAUUUUAAAAACUUCAAUAAUGGCUAUUAUAUCAUUAUUUACCAUGUAAGUAUUAUUGUGGCACAUUGCAAAGCAUUGGUAAUAUGGCCAUCGCAGAGUUAUCUUGCCUAAUCAUUUAAUCCUAAGGUUUCUUUUAAAAAAAAUGGCUCAUGAUCCACAAAGACAGUAAGCACAUAAGAUUUCAGAGGAGAAAACAAUCGCUGUAGCCUAGAAUAAUUGAGGUUUCAGCAGUGAAAUCUGAGUUGGCCAGGUAGGAUUCAGCUGGGAGAGAGGAAGCAGAAAGGUACUCUUGUCUAAGUGAAUAGCGUGGACAAAUCUGCGGUGAUGAGAAUGCAUAAAGCAUGCUUUAGGGAACAGUCAGUUGAGUAGUCUAGCUGGGGUAGAGUAUACUGUUGUAGAAAAUCUUAAAACUCAAGCAAGAUAGUUUGCAUUUUUUUGCUUCUGUGAGCAUAUGGGAACCUAGCACUGGAGGCUAGGAGGGAGGGAUGAGAGCUUUAAGAAGGUGAACCUGAUUGCAGAGUGCAUGGCUCUGGAGGCUGGGGGUCCAUUUUAGAUGAAAUGAAGUCGUCCAUGUGCAACUGCAACAGCUUGACUGAAGGAGGGAAAGGGAGAGUGGAAAUGAUGAGUCAGAGGGGGAGAUGUUAGGAAGAAAAAGGAUCAGCAGCUCUUGGGGACCAACUGGAAAAGGAAGUCCAGAUGGAGAGGGCAUCCAAGAUGAUUCCAAAGUUUGCAGCCUUCAUCAUGGUGGAAGAAACUACCCUUGGAAAAAUCAGGAAAGAAAAGGGAGCCAGGAUUAGGAGGUAAAAAAAGGAAUUUGUUCCCUAAUAGACUGAGUUUGAGGUGACAGUAAGAUAAUGAGGUGGGGCUGUUCAGAAGGCAGUGGGGAAGAAAGUUAAGAAAACCAGUCAGGGCUGGAAAUAAGGAUCUGGGAGCUGUUUCCGCCUUAAAAUGGUCCUCUUUCCUUCCUAACAGAAUUCCACCUGUGUUUGGGCUGCCAUGUGCCCAGAUGGAAAGGAUAAGCCAUGAUUGGCCAGACCCCAAAUAUGCAAGCAAGAAGAGUCAGUCUGAGGCUCCUCACUGUGACGGACUGAGGAGCUUUAUUUACUCCCUGCGGAUAGUGGCCUGCCACCAGAGAGGCCACAGGCCGGAGUGAUGGAGCUGACUCAUAGGGUAAGGAGAAAGUGGCCUGGAUCGUUGACAGAGGGUGUGGUCUUUUUGUUUGGUAAUUUUAAACUACAUUCUUGAAAAAGUUUCUCAAGAUUCAAGCAAUUCCUAGGACUGUAUGUACACUUGGGGAACAUUUCUUAAAAUACAUAACGAAUUCAAAUUAAUAAGAAAAAGACAACCCAGAAGAAAAAUGGACACGUGAAUUAAUCAGAAACUCAAGAGGUGGCGUAUAUUUGAGCAUGGAUCUAAAUGAGGUGAAGGAUUGAGAUGGCUGCUUGGGGAAGAACUUUCCAGGCAUGAAUGAAUGCCUGAAUUGAGCAUCUCCACUUCCUGAUAUGAGAGAAGAGACGUAACAAAGAUUCCUCCAGAACCAAAAGGAUCCGAGAUAAGGCUAACUUGAUUAACGUGCUUAAUGUGAAUGCCACACCUUGGGUUUCCCAGGAAGAAGACUCUCAGAUGAAGACCAGUGUUUAGGAAGCUUAUUAGGAAUGCUUGCGGGAUCAACACCUGCUGGGGAAGAAAGGCAGCAAGAUUGGGCAGAGGACAGAGUUGGGCUAUGGUGCAGUCUCAGUGGAGGUUUCCAUCGGCCAUCGGGAGUUCUGAAGCUGGGCUGGCCCUUCGGGGUGGUCCCAAGUUGGGGGCUGGAUCUUUAUGCCUCGCCUUAGUCCAUCAUUAGAUGUUGGCCAUCCCAGGAAGGAGUAUGACCUUGGGUGAGGUGGCUCCCCUCUGCCACAGUAGUCCUUGGCAGCUGAGGGCUACUUAAAUGAUUUCAACUUCUUCCUUUUGUUCCCCCAGCACCAGGAGUGAUGGUUCCUCAGCAGUGGAGGGAGGGAGUCCUUCCUUCCUGAAGGGGAUCUGGGUGGGCCAGUUCACUGUUCAUCACCGUGAGACAAGGUGGCACAUGGUGAUGGGGAGCACAACAUGCUGGGGUGGGUGGGGGUGGGCAGUCAAUAGAUGCAGGUCUAAACCUUGCUGCAUUGGAGAGAAGAUAAGAGAAAAAGUUGCUGAGUUGGUUUCCUGGGCCUAUGUGCUCUCAGAGUCCUUUCCUUUUCUUAGCUUGCCCAGUGGUGCUGACACCUGCAGGCUGCAUCUCUCAAACUCCCCAUCAGUUGGUUUCUGGCAGGUUUGACCAGGAGAAACCACUGAUCAGACAUAAGCAGGAGGAAACCAGAGAAACCAGAGUAUUUCCAUCCUUCCUCUUCGCCUUGGGCAGGAACUCCAUUAGCAGCUUGUCUUCUCCCUUGUUCUAACUCUCCUAUGCAGGCUCACUGUGGUUCCAGCUCCCAUAAAGGAAUCUCUCAGUCCCUGGCUCUGGCCACACCACUGUGGUAGAUGUGAGGUACUCAGGUCCUCUUUAAGGAAGGACUUGCUGCCCAACGGCAGGUGCUGCAGCCAGCAUCCAGCUGUCAGCCCCUACAGGGUCAGCCUUACUUGCAGAGAACCACCUUGCUCGAGGUCAUGCCCUUCCUGAAGCAGCUGGCAUCCGAUGUUGACCCCUCAUGAACACCUUGCACUCCAGUAUAUUUCUAAGUGCUUCUGAGAGCCCGGCCUGCAACACCACUUCUCCCCUCUGCCUCCAGCCUAGAGAUGGGAAUGGCUUCCUGCUGGUGCUAAUCUCUAGGUGGCCUCACCAUGUCCCAUUUGGACACUCUGCUCUUGCAUCAUCCAUGUAAUCAAUUAACUGCAUUAAAUCCCCAUCUCUUUAAAUAAAGUAGGUUCUGACACAGCCAACAUUAUACUGAAUGGGGAAAAGUUGAAAGCGUUCCUCCUGAGAACUGGAACAAGACAAGGAUGUUCACUUUCACCACUUCUAUUCAACAUAGUACUGGAAGUCCUAGCCAGAGCAAUCAGACAAGAGAAGGCAAUAAAGGACAUCCAAAAAAGUAAAGAGGAAGUCAAACUGUCACUGUUUGCUGAUGAUAUGAUUGUAUACCUAGAAAACCCUAAGAACUUAUCCAAAAAGCUCCUAGAACUGAUUAAUGAAUUCAGUAAAGUUUCAGGAUACAGAAUUAAUGUACACAAGUCAGUAGCACUGCUGUACACCAACAGUAACCAAGCUGAGAAUCAAAUCAAGAACUCAGCCUCUUUUACAAUAGCUGCAAAAAAUAAAAUAAAAUACUGAGGAAUAUACCUGUUACCAAGGAGGUGAAAGACCUCUACAAUGAAAACUAUAAAACACUGCUGAAAGAAAUCAUAGAUGACACAAACAAAUGGAAACACAUCUCAUGCUCAUGGAUGGGUAGAAUCAAUAUCGUGAAAAUGACCAUACUGCGAAAAGCAAUCUACAAAUUCAGUGCAAUUCCCAUCACAGUAUCACCAACAUUCUUCACAAAGCUGGAAAAAGCAAUCCUAAAAUUCAUAUGGAAUGAAAAAAGAGCCCGCAUAGCCAAAGCAAUACUAAGCAAAAAGAACAAAUCUAGAGGCGUCACAUUACCCAACUUCGAACUAUACUAUAAGGCCAUAGUCACCAAAACAGCAUGGUACUGGUAUAAAAUAGGUACAUAAACCAAUGGAACAGAAUAGAGAACCCAGAAAUAAAGCUGGAUACUUAUAGCUAACGAGUCUUCAACAAAGCAAACAAAAUAAAGUGGGGAAAGGACACCCCAUUCAACAAAUGGUGCUGGGAUAAUUGUCAAGCCACAUGUAGAAAAAAUGAAACUGGAUCCUCAUCUCUCAUUUUAUACAAAAAUCAACUCAAGAUGGAUCAAAGACUUAAGUCUAAGACCUGAAACCAUAAAAAUUCUAGAAGAUAACAUUGGAAAAACCCUUCUAGACAUUGGCAUAGGCAAAGACUUCACGACCAAGAACCCAAAAGAAAAUGCAACAGAAACAAAGAUAGAUAGGUAGGACUUAAUUAAACUAAAUUACUUCUACACAGCAAAAGAAAUUAUCAGUAUAGACCACCCACAGAAUAGGAGAAAAUCUUUGCAAUCUAUACAUCUGACAAAGGAUUAAUAUCCAGAAUCUACAAGGAACUCAGAUCAGCAAGAAAAAAACAAAGAAUCCCAUCAAAAAAUGGGCUAAGGACAUGAAUAAACAAUUCUCAAAAGAUGUACAAAGGGCCAACAAACAUAUGAAAAAAUAUUCAACAUCACUAAUUAUCAGGGAAAUGCAAAUCAAAACCACAAUGAGAUGCUACCUCACUCCUGCAAGAAUGGCCAUAAUCAAAGAUCAAAAAUAAUAGAUGUUGGCAUGGAUGUGAAGAAAAGGGAACACUUUUACACUGCUGGUGGGAAUGUAAACUAGUACAACCACCAUGGAAAACAGUGUGGAGAUUCCUUAAAGAACUAAAAAUAGAUGUACCAUUUGAUCCAGUGAUCCCACUACUAAGUAUCUACCCAGAGGAAAAGAAGUUAUUAUACUAAAAAGAUACUUGCACAUGGAUGUUUAUAGCAGCACAAUUCGCAAUUGCAAAAAUAUGGAACCAGCCCAAAUGCCCAUCAAUCAAUGAGUGGAUAAAGAAAAUGUGAGGGAUAAAAGACUACACAUUGGGUACAGUGUAUACUGCUUGUGUGAAGGGUGCACCAAAAUCCCAGAAGUCACCACUAAAGGACUUAUUCAUGUAACCAAACACCACCUGUUCCCCAAAAACCUAUUGAAAUGGAAAAUAAAUAAAGUAGGUUCUGUUUUCCUGGCUA